AUACCAUACACAUCCAUCAAAACACAUCACAUUCAUGUUCGGACAACUUGCGUUCUCAUGCAUAAACACAGUUACAUCUUAUCGAAUAUAUAACCAAAUGUAAUACAUGUAUUAGAUCAAUUUGUUUUUCUCUUCCGUUUGAUAUUUAGAGUCUCACAUACCUUUAGAUUUUACAGUGUAAUGCCUUUUUAACCAAUAUCAUUUAAUACAUAAGGAUCCCCUCUAUAUGUGAAUACUCAAAUAUUUCCAUAGCCAAUAAGUAAUCGUUAGUUAUCCUCAUACCCCAACCCAUGUGGGCGCCAUAAUUAUCAACCAUCCUCAUACCUUCAACCCAUAUAAGUGUCAUAACCAAUCGAUCGCCACCAUACUCCAACCCCUAUGGGUGCUGCUGUUAUUCCAUAUAUAUAAUAGGGUUUGCCCUGCAUAACCAAAAUACAAUCAUUAUAUAAUUAAAGCACAAAUGUGACCAUCGGCUGCCCCAGACCACAAUCCAUUUGAGCACCAUAAAC
This 509-nucleotide long non-coding RNA is filed under the name Carica papaya (papaya). RNAcentral describes it as "long non-coding RNA (CPAP_LNC005080)". Lineage: Eukaryota; Viridiplantae; Streptophyta; Magnoliopsida; Brassicales; Caricaceae. The record is from RNAcentral.